UGCAAGAACAAGUUUAGUUCAUUUCAGUUUUUGUUUAUCAAUAUAAUUCUAAUCCCUUUUAUGCUUUCCAUGUAAAUCCCUAAUUUACCCUUAGUUUGUUUCACUCAAUCCACCUCAUUCCAUAAAAUUUGCAACAGUUCGUGCAGUUACAACAACUCCACAAUUUUCCGAGUUCAAUCCCCUCUCCCUAAAGCUUCUCAAUUCCCACUCCACAAAGACUCUAACUGAGUCAGUCCCUCACCUCCACGAAUUCCACGAUUUUCUCAUGUCAAACCUCAAUCCCUAAAUUUCCUUAAAAUUGAUUUAAUCCAUUAACCCAAUUCCAUAUUUUGCUCAGUCGAUUGUCACACCCUAAAAUCUCUCUAACAAACACACACCACCAGUCCAAUAUCUACCUAUAAAACCUUUCAACCUAUACGCUCAUAACGGGGCCUAAUUCUGACGCAAAAAAAGAGAAAAAUACACUUAAACAUAAAAGAUUUUUUCGUAAUACAAGAACCACAAAAAUUUAGCACACAACAACAGGUAGAGAAAGAAGAAGAAGAUGAGGAUUCAGAGUAUAAAGCAUCGAAAAGGACGAGAAGACUUGUCGGAGAACUCAGAGGCUCUGAUGAGUUUUACUGGUUUCAAAUGUAAGCAAGAAUACCAGAGGAAUCAUCAAGGGAAUCAGACGUUCCGGGCCUAUCGGAAGAGGAAAUUGGACAAUACAGUAGCCCUGACACGACCACCCGUGUUGCCCAACACGACCCGUGUCAGGAGAAGAGAGCCAAAGCCAUAAAUGGGGAGCUGACACGGGUGCCCGUGUCAGCCACCCUGGAAGGGGCGUGUCAGCCCUUGCAGCCAGACAGCCAACACGGCCUAUCGUGUUGCCUGACACAGCUAGUGUUGGCUUGGACACCUCAUUUUCCAGUGUUUGCUGUAUUUUGGCACGGUUGAUCCCAGAGGGCAUUUUGGACUUUUGCUACAUCAAAUUAGUGAUAAAGAAUUAUUUAGGGGACUUUUGAAUACGGAGAAAAUGACAUUUUUCACGAUUACAGAUUUAGUAUGAUUAAGAUUGAAGUGAUCAAAGGCGGCGAAGAACGGAGGUCCUUCAAGAGCGGAUGCGAUUGAAGAUCAACGGAAUUCCCUUACUUUUGUAAUGUCUAAAUUUUAUUUUGUAUCUUAUUUGAAUAAUAUGAGAGGCUAAACCCCC
Long non-coding RNA from Lathyrus oleraceus (garden pea), 1192 nucleotides. RefSeq lists it as uncharacterized. The transcript is spliced from 3 exons. NCBI's taxonomy places the organism in Eukaryota, Viridiplantae, Streptophyta, Magnoliopsida, Fabales, Fabaceae. The record is from RefSeq and is a predicted model, not a curated record.